GUCUUAAAUACUCUUUACUGGUCUGUCUUGAUGCUGUAAAAUCCCUGCAUCUUAAAGAUUUUAAUCUUUCUCUGUGUUUUUUUUUUGCCUUCAAAAGGACACUACUCUUAGCCCAUGUUAAAGGUCUUGUUCCCUUGUCCUGUGUUUACAGGCUCAGAGGCCAGUGCCCUCCCUGACGCUGGGGACAGGGCUCCUCUUGAACAGCAGCCCAGUAAGGAGGAGGGGGGCUCCCGUCUGAUGCAGGAGACAGAGCUCACCGCCGCACACGGGAAAGAGACACUCAGUGAGCAGCAGCACACAGAGAGCAGACAGAGGGUGGAGGAUCUGGACUCUGUGCCCGUGAUGAAGACAGAGCCUGAGACAGAGACACCUGGGUUCCUACUAUCUGAUGAUUUUACAGAGAAGAUGAAUAAUCUGGACACCAAGAAUAUUGCAGCACACUGUAUUGAACUGGGCCGUGUCUCUGUACAAGAGCCCAAAGAAGAACUGGGGUCAGAGGUCAGCGCUCUCCCCGAUGCUGGGGACAGGGCUCCUCUUGAACAGCAGCCCAGCGAGGAGGAGGAGGAGGGGGGCUCCCGUCUGAUGCAGGAGACAGAGCUCGCCGCCGCACACGGGAAAGAGACACUCAGUGAGCAGCAGCACACAGAGAGCAG
RNAcentral lists this long non-coding RNA (653 nucleotides) under Lepisosteus oculatus (spotted gar). RNAcentral describes it as "lncRNA (ENSLOCG00000021940.1)". The record is from RNAcentral. Lineage: Eukaryota; Metazoa; Chordata; Actinopteri; Semionotiformes; Lepisosteidae.